GAUGAACGCUGGCGGCGUGCCUAAUACAUGCAAGUCGAGCGAAGCGGGGACGGGUGAGUAACACGUGGAUAACCUCCUAUAAGACUGGGAUAACUUCGGGAAACCGGAGCUAAACCGGAUACUUAUAGAUGGAUCCGCGCUGCAUUAGCUAGUUGGUAAGGUAACGGCUUACCAAGGCAACGAUGCAUAGCCGACCUGGAAGGGUGAUCGGCCACACUGGAACUGAGACACGGUCCAGAAUCCUACGGGAGGCAGCAGUGGGGAAUAUUGGACAAUGGGCGCAAGCCUGAUCCAGCCAUACCGCGUGGGUGAAGAAGGCCUUCGGGUUGUAAAGCCCUUUUGUUGGGAAAGCGGUACCCAAAGAAUAAGCACCGGCUAACUUCGUGCCAGCAGCCGCGGUAAUAC
Molecule: ribosomal RNA, 405 nt
Filed under: uncultured bacterium
Lineage: Bacteria
Description: partial 16S ribosomal RNA
Rfam family: Bacterial small subunit ribosomal RNA
Source: RNAcentral